Molecule: non-coding RNA, 114 nt
Organism: Acanthosepion pharaonis
Lineage: Eukaryota; Metazoa; Mollusca; Cephalopoda; Sepiida; Sepiidae
Source: the annotation of a GenBank genome assembly
UUACAGUCAUAUCACUUUGAAACGCCGAUUCUCGUACGAUCACAAAAGUUAAGCAACGUCGAGCCUGAUCAGUGCCUAGAUGGGUGACCGCUUGGGAAUAUCAAGUGCUGCAAG